RNAcentral lists this ribosomal RNA (301 nucleotides) under uncultured bacterium. Its description in RNAcentral is "partial 16S ribosomal RNA". It matches the Rfam family "Bacterial small subunit ribosomal RNA", at positions 509 to 809 of the family's 1533-position model. The record is from RNAcentral.
CAGUCGCCGCGGUAAUACGUAGGUGGCAAGCGUUGUCCGGAAUUAUUGGGCGUAAAGGGCUCGCAGGCGGUUUCUUAAGUCUGAUGUGAAAGCCCCCGGCUCAACCGGGGAGGGUCAUUGGAAACUGGGAAACUUGAGUGCAGAAGAGGAGAGUGGAAUUCCACGUGUAGCGGUGAAAUGCGUAGAGAUGUGGAGGAACACCAGUGGCGAAGGCGACUCUCUGGUCUGUAACUGACGCUGAGGAGCGAAAGCGUGGGGAGCGAACAGGAUUAGAUACCCGAGUAGUCCCUGUCUCUUAUCA